Molecule: ribosomal RNA, 492 nt
Filed under: uncultured bacterium
Lineage: Bacteria
Description: partial 16S ribosomal RNA
Rfam family: Bacterial small subunit ribosomal RNA
Source: RNAcentral
AGUGAACGCUGGCGGUAGGCCUAACACAUGCAAGUCGAACGGCAGCACAGUAAGAGCUUGCUCUUACGGGUGGCGAGUGGCGGACGGGUGAGGAAUACAUCGGAAUCUACUUUUUCGUGGGGGAUAACGUAGGGAAACUUACGCUAAUACCGCAUACGACCUACGGGUGAAAUCAGGAGAUCUUCGGACCUUGCGCGAUUGAAUUAGCCGAUGUCGGAUUAGCUAGUUGGCGGGGUAAAGGCCCACCAAGGCGACGAUCCGUAGCUGGUCUGAGAGGAUGAUCAGCCACACUGGAACUGAGACACGGUCCAGACUCCUACGGGAGGCAGCAGUGGGGAAUCUUGGACAAUGGGCGCAAGCCUGAUCCAGCAAUACCGCGUGAGUGAAGAAGGCCUUCGGGUUGUAAAGCCCUUUUGUUGGGAAAGAAAAGAAGCAGGUUAAUCCCCCGCUGUUCUGACGGUACCCAAAGAAUAAGCACCGGCUAACUUCGUG